Molecule: ribosomal RNA, 375 nt
Filed under: Triticum aestivum (bread wheat)
Lineage: Eukaryota; Viridiplantae; Streptophyta; Magnoliopsida; Poales; Poaceae
Description: partial small subunit ribosomal RNA
Source: RNAcentral
AUGGGAGAUGGAGACGGCGAGGGCGAGGAGGACGUCACGGACGAGCUCAGGUUUCAGGAUGCUCAUCGCCAUAUGUCAGGACUCAGGAGUCGAAUCAAAACUGCGGUUCACUAUUCACAUUGGGUCUUCUAUCUGCUGGUAAAAGAACUCAAAGCAUGCUCGACGUGUACUAUUGGAAAAUCAAUAGGAGUGAUGCGGGAAGUCAUGGGAGAAAAUCUUUACAAGGAAGUGAUCGUCGCGGCGCCAAAGGAGGAUGAAGGCGAUUUUGGCUGCAUCGUCAUCUGUGGGAAUGAAGUUCUUCACAGAGUUGCCAACUUCAUGGUAGGCAACCAACCUUCUCUCACUUCUCUUCUUGUUUUGUAUUGCACUGCCUAG